CCCCGUAGAAUCUUUUCCCACACCCGGCCGGCGCGCCGGGUGGUGACCCGAGGAGC
Molecule: non-coding RNA, 56 nt
Filed under: Streptomyces sp. Tu6071
Lineage: Bacteria; Bacillati; Actinomycetota; Actinomycetes; Kitasatosporales; Streptomycetaceae
Also listed under: 3 other names
Source: RNAcentral